RNAcentral lists this ribosomal RNA (465 nucleotides) under Vreelandella stevensii. Its description in RNAcentral is "partial 16S ribosomal RNA". It matches the Rfam family "Bacterial small subunit ribosomal RNA", at positions 338 to 795 of the family's 1533-position model. Lineage: Bacteria; Pseudomonadati; Pseudomonadota; Gammaproteobacteria; Oceanospirillales; Halomonadaceae. The record is from RNAcentral.
CCUACGGGUGGCUGCAGUGGGGAAUAUUGGACAAUGGGGGGAACCCUGAUCCAGCCAUGCCGCGUGUGUGAAGAAGGCCCUCGGGUUGUAAAGCACUUUCAGUGAGGAAGAACGCCUGGUGGUUAAUACCCAUCAGGAAAGACAUCACUCACAGAAGAAGCACCGGCUAACUCCGUGCCAGCAGCCGCGGUAAUACGGAGGGUGCGAGCGUUAAUCGGAAUUACUGGGCGUAAAGCGCGCGUAGGUGGCUUGAUAAGCCGGUUGUGAAAGCCCCGGGCUCAACCUGGGAACGGCAUCCGGAACUGUCAAGCUAGAGUGCAGGAGAGGAAGGUAGAAUUCCCGGUGUAGCGGUGAAAUGCGUAGAGAUCGGGAGGAAUACCAGUGGCGAAGGCGGCCUUCUGGACUGACACUGACCCUGAGGUGCGAAAGCGUGGGUAGCAAACAGGAUUAGAUACCCUUGUAGUC